GACGAACGCUGGCGGCGUGCCUAAUACAUGCAAGUCGAACGAGAGCGCCCGGUGCUUGCACUGGUCAAUCUAGUGGCGAACGGGUGAGUAACACGUGGGUAACCUGCCCAUCAGAGGGGGAUAACAUCCGGAAACGGAUGCUAAAACCGCAUAGGUCUUCGAUCCGCAUGGCUUGAAGAGGAAAAGAGGCGCAAGCUUCUGCUGAUGGUUGGUCCCGCGUUGCAUUUGCUAGUUGUUGAGGUAACGGCUCACCAAGGCCGUGAUGCAUAGCCGACCUGAGAGGGUGAGCGGCCACAUUGGGACUGAGACACGGCCCAAACUCCUACGGGAGGCAGCAGUAGGGAAUCUUCCGCAAUGGACGCAAGUCUGACGGAGCAACGCCGCAUGAGUGAAGAAGGUUUUCGGAUCGUAAAACUCUGUUGUUAGAGAAGAACAAGUGCUAGAGUAACUGUUAGCGCCUUGACGGUAUCUAACCAGAAAGCCACGGCUAACUACGUG
This 498-nucleotide ribosomal RNA is filed under the name uncultured bacterium. RNAcentral describes it as "partial 16S ribosomal RNA". It matches the Rfam family "Bacterial small subunit ribosomal RNA", at positions 28 to 507 of the family's 1533-position model. The record is from RNAcentral.